AACGAACGCUGGCGGCAUGCCUAAUACAUGCAAGUCGAGCGAGACCUCCGGGUCCAGUGGCCUAUGGGUGUGUAAGGCGACGGAACCGGCCCUUAGGUUUGGAAUAACUCCCCGAAAGGGGUGCCAAUAGCGGAUAAUGUCUACGGACGAAAGAUAUAUCGCCCCUGGAUGGGCCGGCGUUGGAUUAGCUAGUUGCGAGGGUAAAAGACUACCAAGGCGACGAUCGAUAGCUGGUCAGUGAGACAGAUCAGCCACACUGAGAGUGGGACACGGCCCAGACUCCUACGGGAGGCGCCAGUGGGGGAUGUUGCACAGUCGGCUGAAGCCUGAUCCAGCACUGCCGCUUGAGUUAUGUAGGCCUUAGAGUUGUAAAGCGCUAUUACCCAGGAUCGUAAUGACGGUACCGGGAGAGUAAGCUCCGGCUAACUCCGUG
RNAcentral lists this ribosomal RNA (433 nucleotides) under uncultured bacterium. RNAcentral describes it as "partial 16S ribosomal RNA". It matches the Rfam family "Bacterial small subunit ribosomal RNA", at positions 29 to 507 of the family's 1533-position model. The record is from RNAcentral.